AUUGAACGCUGGCGGCAGGCCUAACACAUGCAAGUCGAGCGCGAAAGGCUUUCGGGCUGAGUAGAGCGGCGGACGGGUGAGUAACGCGUAGGAAUCUACCUGGUAGUGGGGGACAACUUGGGGAAACUCAAGCUAAUACCGCAUACGCCCUAUGGGGGAAAGUGGGGGACCUUCGGGCCUCACGCUAUCGGAUGAGCCUGCGUUAGAUUAGCUAGUUGGUAGGGUAAAGGCCUACCAAGGCGACGAUCUAUAGCUGGUCUGAGAGGACGAUCAGCCACACUGGGACUGAGACACGGCCCAGACUCCUACGGGAGGCAG
Molecule: ribosomal RNA, 318 nt
Filed under: uncultured Pseudomonadota bacterium
Lineage: Bacteria; Pseudomonadati; Pseudomonadota
Description: bacterial SSU rRNA
Rfam family: Bacterial small subunit ribosomal RNA
Source: RNAcentral